UCCCUCCAGAUUUCUUACUCCGCAGAUUGAAAUAGUGGUCUGAGUGGCUCAAAGAGAAGGAAAAGUAAAACUGAAGUCGAAUGGGGGCCUCCUUGUGACCUCCACGUUCAUUCAAACAUCA
RNAcentral lists this small nucleolar RNA (121 nucleotides) under Echinops telfairi (small Madagascar hedgehog). RNAcentral describes it as "Small nucleolar RNA SNORA61 (ENSETEG00000024957.1)". The record is from RNAcentral. Lineage: Eukaryota; Metazoa; Chordata; Mammalia; Afrosoricida; Tenrecidae.